RNAcentral lists this ribosomal RNA (377 nucleotides) under uncultured bacterium. Its description in RNAcentral is "bacterial SSU rRNA". It matches the Rfam family "Bacterial small subunit ribosomal RNA", at positions 523 to 898 of the family's 1533-position model. The record is from RNAcentral.
AUACGUAGGUGGCGAGCGUUGUCCGGAUUUACUGGGCGUAAAGGAUGCGUAGGUGGAAACUUAAGUGGGAUGUGAAAUCCCCGGGCUCAACCCGGGAACUGCAUUCCAAACUGGGUUACUUGAGUGCAGGAGAGGAAAGCGGAAUUCCUAGUGUAGCGGUGAAAUGCGUAGAUAUUAGGAAGAACACCAGUGGCGAAGGCGGCUUUCUGGACUGUAACUGACACUGAGGCAUGAAAGCGUGGGGAGCAAACAGGAUUAGAUACCCUGGUAGUCCACGCCGUAAACGAUGGGUACUAGGUGUAGGGGGUAUCAACUCCCCCUGUGCCGUCGUAAACACAGUAAGUACCCCGCCUGGGGAGUACGGUCGCAAGAUUAAA